RNAcentral lists this ribosomal RNA (441 nucleotides) under uncultured bacterium. RNAcentral's name for it is "partial 16S ribosomal RNA". It matches the Rfam family "Bacterial small subunit ribosomal RNA", at positions 338 to 795 of the family's 1533-position model. The record is from RNAcentral.
CCUACGGGUGGCAGCAGUGGGGAAUAUUGCACAAUGGGGGAAACCCUGAUGCAGCGACGCCGCGUGAGUGAAGAAGUAUUUCGGUAUGUAAAGCUCUAUCAGCAGGAACGAGACAAGACGGUACCUGACUAAGAAGCCCCGGCGAACUACGUGCCAGCAGCCGCGGUAAUACGUAGGGGGCAAGCGUUAUCCGGAAUCACUGGGUGGAAAGGGAGCGUAGAGGGCGGGGCAAGCCUGAAGUGAAAGGCGGGGGCCCAACCCCUGGACUGCUUUGGGAACUGUACGGCUGGAGUGCAGGAGAGGUAAGAGGAAUUCGUAGUGUAGCGGUGAAAUGCGUAGAUAUUAGGAGGAACACCAGUUGCGAAGGCGGCUUACUGGACUGUAACUGACGUUGAGGCUCGAAAGCGUGGGGAGCAAACAGGAUUAGAUACCCCUGUAGUC